This is a long non-coding RNA of Octopus bimaculoides (California two-spot octopus), 2494 nucleotides long. The record is from RefSeq and is a predicted model, not a curated record. Lineage: Eukaryota; Metazoa; Mollusca; Cephalopoda; Octopoda; Octopodidae.
AUUUAAAAGGAUGACCGUACCUUGAAGUUAAGAGCGGUUUCAGUUACUGACAUUACUAGAUGUAAGGAGCACCAGAAUGAAAACAGUUGAAAAUACAUUUAACACAGGCGUCUGCGAUUCAUCAAUAACGGCGUUUGAUAACAACAACAACAACAACAGAGAAUUAUCAGAAAAUUAUAACAAGGUGAUCCCUUCUGAAGAACCUUCGUAUUGUCAUAACGAAAUUUCCAACAAACGAUCGGUAAGUGUUCAAUGUAAAUACAUUAUUUUCUUCAUAUUUUGGUGGUGGCUGUCAAUUAGAUGUUCUGAAGUCUGUGGGUAGUUUUGGGACGAAUUGGCAAUAAUAAUUAAAGGACCCGGUUCUUAAUUUGCACAGGAAUCUGCUAAUGAAAUAUUUUGAAUGAUUUUUCACUUAUUUGUUCAACGUAUCCACCACUUUCAUUUUUAUCAAAGAAAUGAUGAGACACUGACCAAGCAUUUAGCAAGUUUUUUUGUUUUUUUUUAACCUACACGAUAUGCCGCUAGUUGUUUCAUAAAUAAAGGGUGAUUUUCAUACUUGAUAUAUGAAUUCAGUCUUCAUUUCUCCGAAGAAAAAUUUAGCUUACUUGUGAAAAAAUUCAAAACGAACAGAUACACAAAAAAAGUAGGAAAAGAGGGAAAUUUUGGCAAAAAACUUACAAGGAGUUCCAGCUAAAAAUCAAUGGGUCUCCUUAUUCGUCAGUUAAUGAUGAUGAUAAUGAUGACUUCUUUAUUAGCUACAAGUAUUCAAAAGAUACAGUACAACAGACAUUAAGACGAGGAUGGUGGUAAAAUACUUAUGGGGUUUGUCAUCUAGUCGUAUUAAAACGUGAGGAGAGAGAAAUUAUAGACAGAUAAAUAUUUAAAAGAAAAACAUGAAAUACACAUUAAAUAAUAAAGAAAAACAGCCAGUAAUCAAAACGAUAUAUACAUUGAAUUUUUAAAAAAAAAAACAAUUUUUAGGGUGACUAAAUUGGACAGCAGCACCCGAUAACUUUGCUCUCCUGCCAUUCCUGGAAUUGAGAUCUGGCACACCCAAUGCUAUUAGCAUUUUCAAGGGGAUGGAUCAGGUUAGGAGUGUUUAAACGUGUUAAGGUUGUCUUUCAUUCAUGCCAUCAUAAAUCUUUUACGAACACUCUCUCGCCCUCAUGUCUGAAUAUUUCACCUAAAAGUUCGCAAAAUCUACUAUAUCUUGGCUUUCUUGUUACCUUAAAUAUUACUUCAUGGAUACUUUCCCCGAAGAGUGGAGCCUCUUAGCCCUUUACGUCGCCGUUUGUAGGGGUUCACUCUUCCCUUUUGAAGUCUUCUUAUAUUUUCAGCCAGGGUUUAUUUUUCGUGAUCCUCAUUUAUCUCCUCUUGGUCAUCGAUGGAAUACCGCACCUGCAGCUGGUGGCUACGGUUGAUGGACGGCUCCCUGCUCACGUGUUUCCAGGAUUGAUUACAGGGUGAUUUCAUUCACUAUUUCUGGGUAGUGAUAGUGUUCUAGAAAUUGGUACCUACUCAUCUUGUUGCUGUCUUAGCUUUUCGAGUUCUGAGCAAAUGGCCCUCCUGGUUUUUACUACCAUUUGUAUAAUAACUAGGCCUUAGCCCUGCUCCAUCAGUUUCGUGUCCUUUGUCAUAGCACCCUCAACUGAGCAGGGAACCUUCAAAUCCAUCUCAAUUCCUCUUAACCACAUGUUGUCACCCCUGCACUUAACACCUGCCCAUAUUGUGACACAAAGCUGACGACCAGUCACAUAUUUACAGAGAUGUAAAUACCCUUGAGUGUCACUUCUGUAUUUCUCUGGCCUAAAUAUUGGGGAUCAAGUGUAUGAAUAGAAGUAUAAAUUACUCUUUUAUCCUGUGUUUUAGUUGAGUCUUCAGUGUUGAAAAUGCAGCAGACUGCCUUAACCUCUCACAGUUGAGAGAAUAUCUCUCGAGACUGUAACAUAAGCCUUGCCCACUUUCAAUCGAGAAAAUAUCUCCCAAUAUUCCUCUCAGGUAUUCUUCCAAUGGCUGUUUCGACAGCAAUUGGAAUCUGCUGUUAUACUUCUUAAGGCACAGAUAAGCCCUCUCUUGGUUUAAGUGACAAUGUCUGGUUUUUACACAACACUCACAGUUAAUUCUUUUUCAUUUUUUUUCCGAGGAAAUAUAUCAAAUCUAAAAUCUCUGUGACGACAGCGACAAGACUAGUUUCUUUAACACCACCGCUAAAUAUAUAUGUAGUAACGCCGUACGCAUGCGUAGUCUCACGCAUGCGUGGAAUUCAACAUACCAAGCUUUCCCGCUUCAUUCUGCCUCUUUCUUGCUGGCCAGCGAUUGAGCAUGGACGUGUUUAGCUGUCUCUCUCCAUCUUUCGGACUUACGCUCGACAGCUCGCUUACAUCUACAUACCAACGUCCCAACAACCAUGCUCACACACACAGAAGCUGUAACAACAAACAAGAGCUAAAGAUGUAUAUAUUUACCACCUGAAUAAAUGUUGUUUAAGUUGAUA